This is a non-coding RNA of Castor canadensis (American beaver), 631 nucleotides long. NCBI's taxonomy places the organism in Eukaryota, Metazoa, Chordata, Mammalia, Rodentia, Castoridae. The record is from RefSeq and is a predicted model, not a curated record.
GAGGUGGUUCUCCUCUGUGUUGUGUGUGAGUGAGUGAGUGAGUGAGCGAGUGAGUGAGUGAGUGAGCGAGUGAGUGAGUGAGUGUGUGUGCAGGCACUUGCUGUUGGUGACUUCCCCCUCCCCUUCGCCCCUCCCCCUCCCCGCCGCCGCUGCAGUGGCCGCUCCCUGGGCCAUAGAUGAGCGAUAACAAUGACAUCGAGGUGGAGAGCGACGCUCACAAACCGGCUCAUCAUAAUACACUGGAACGAAAAUGUAGGGACCACAUCAAAGACAGCUUUCACAGUUUGCGGGACUCGAUCCCGUCACUUCAAGGAGAGAAGGCAUCCCGGGCCCAAAUCCUAGACAAAGCCACAGAGUAUGUCCAGUAUAUGCGAAGGAAAAACAACACGCACCAGCAAGAUACUGAUGACCUCAAGCGGCAGAACGCUCUUCUGGAGCAGCAAGUCCGUGCACUGGAGAAGGCAAGGUCGAGUGCCCAACUGCAGACCAACUACCCCUCCUCAGACAACAGCCUCUACACCAACGCCAAGGCCAGCACCAUCUCUGCCUUCGAUGGGGCUCAGACUCCAGCUCAGAGUCAGAGCCUGAAGAGCCCCAAAGCAGGGAGAAACUCCGGAUGGAGGCCAGCUAA